CAAAAUCAAGUUUAAUCUUUACCAAAAUACCCUCAAAAUUGAGAUAUAAACAAGCCUGUUAUGAACACGUGGUAAACAGAAAAAUAGUGCAGUAGACCACAUCAAGAGCCUAAACAAAUACUAGAAGAACCAAGCAUGCAAAUAGAUUAAGCCCUUGAUUCAUUUAUUGCAAUCAUCAUCUAGUAAUAUCCUCAUAUGUAAGCAUUUACACAGUUCAGCACGUUCCUAUGCUCACUUGCAACAGCACGAACAACAUCUCCAGCGGACAGCUCAUACCAGUCUGAUCAACAAAAUAGAGGGAACCCAAUUAUUUUUGUUCAAAAAGGAAACCUUACUAGUUAAUUUAACUAGGAACCUUAACAAGAUCAUUUCUGACUAUGUUGGAACUUGUCUUAUAAGAUCAUUCAAACAAGUAAAAGAACCACAAAAUGCUCUGGAGGAUAUGUCAAUAUUAAUCACUAAAAAACAGACGAAAGCACAGUUUGUUUUGUUUCAAGGAAUUGCCGUCUUAAAAACAGCUUGUUAUAAGCACAUGUAACUAGAAAAGUAGUGUAGUAGACCACAUCAAGAGCCUUAAACAAACACUAAAAGAACCAAGCAUGCAAAUAUACACGAGAUUAAGCCCUUCAAGGGGAUUUUGGACUAAUUAGAGGGAACCCAAUUAUUUUUGUUCGAAAAAGAAACCUUACUAGUUAAUAUAACUGGGAACCUUAAGAAUAUCAUUUCCUACUAUGUUGGAACCUGUCUUAUAAGAUCUUUCAAACAAGUAAACAACGAACAAAAUGCUCGAGUAUAUCUCAAUAUUAAUCCCUAAAAAUAAAUGAAACAACUAUUGUAUUGAUUCAAGGAAUUGCCGUCUUAAAAUCACCCUGUUGUAAGCACACGUAACCAGAAAAGUAGUCCACAUCAAGAGGCACAAACACAUACUAGAAGAACCAACAACAACAACAACAACCCAGUAUAAUCCCAUUUAGUGGGGUCUGGGAAAGUAGUGCGUACACAGACCUUACCCCUACCAUAGGGUAGAGAGACUGUUUCCAAAUAGACCCCGGCAUACUAGAAGAACCAAGCAUGCAAAUAUAUACAAGAUCAAGCGCUUGAUCCUAUUAUUAUCAUCAUCUAGUAACCUCCUCAUAUGUAAGCAUUUACACUGUUCAACUCGUUCCUAAGCUCACUUGCUACAGCACGGACAUCUCCAGCGGACACCUCAUACCACUGUGAUCAACAACAGGAAUGUGCCUGAUGCGGUUAUCAACAACUUAUUGUUCCCUUGUUCCAUUAAAAAGAGCAAACUUGGAGUUUUUUUAGUAUGACCCCUUUCGCUGAACCCAUUCAUGGUGAUUGCAUACAUGACUUCAUCGGGCUCACAAAUUUUCUCCCUCACCAACUUUUUGAACAAUUCAACUGCAUCGUUGACCUUAUUUUCAGCUAAAAAUCCACUUAUUAGGGUGUUAAAGGUGACAACAUUAAAUGAUGUCAUUCUUCAAGUAAAUGGGUAACACUAAAAAUCUACAAUAACAAAAUGCAUCAGGCAAUAACUGUUAAUCACGAUAUUCAAGAUGACUCCAUUAAUUGGGAUACCCAAUUUCUACAUUUCUCCAACAAGAGAAAUGACAACAGAGUAAUGCUUCAUAUUUAUCAUUAGCUCACAGAUAUUCUCUCUUGCCAACUUUUUGAACAAUUCAACUGCCUCUUUGACCUUAUUUUCAGCAAAGAUUCCCAUAACAAGGUGCUAAAAGUAACAACAUCAAAUGCAAUGUUACUCUUCAAUUAAAUUGGUAACAUCGAAUAAUAAAAAUCAGCACGAUGCAUCAGACAAUAACUGUUAAGUAUGCUAUUCAAGAUGACCUCAGGUAUUGUAUUCCCCGCUGCUAUUAUUUGGUACUACUUAUCCUCCGUCCCUCCCCCUCCCCCUUUUUCUUUUCUCUUCCUUCCUUACUUUCCACUUCUUCUUCUUGUCCUUCCUGAGUCGAGGGUCUAUUGGAAACUUUCUUUCUACCUGCAUUAGGUAGCGCUAAGGUCUGCGUACAGACUACCCUCCCCAGACCCCACCUAUUGGAAUCAAACUGGGUUUGUUGUUGUUGUUAUGCUAUUCAAGAUGACUCAAUCAAAUGGGAUAGCCAAUUUCUUCAUUAAUCCAAAAAGAAAAGUGACAACAGAGUAAUGCUUCAUAUUUAGCAUAAUCUUAAAUAAUUUAGAGAAGCCGACAACAGGAGGAAGAGGUUGUAUUCUAACCAUUUUAUGAAAGAGUCACAACAUCAUCUAAAACAUUUGACAUUCUUAAACUUACUACUACUAUGGCAUGAAGAAUAAGCACUGAUUGUAAAUGCCAAACCAGAAUUGAAAGUAGCAAAGAAUGAGAUAAACUGAAUACCAUUGCAAGAGUAACGCAAAGAAGCUUUCUUCAUCUUCGAUGGCCUAAUCUCUGUGGAUGUGAGCUCGGCGUGCCCUAAUUUUGC
Molecule: long non-coding RNA, 2459 nt
Filed under: Nicotiana benthamiana
Lineage: Eukaryota; Viridiplantae; Streptophyta; Magnoliopsida; Solanales; Solanaceae
Description: long non-coding RNA (NBEN_LNC038122)
Source: RNAcentral